This 67-nucleotide transfer RNA is filed under the name Stenus comma. Its description in RNAcentral is "tRNA-Ser". Lineage: Eukaryota; Metazoa; Arthropoda; Insecta; Coleoptera; Staphylinidae. The record is from RNAcentral.
GAGAUAUAAAAAAAUAAAAAUAAGCUUCUAACUUAAAUUUUAGCGAUGAAAUUUCGUUAAUAUCUCU